AUUGAACGCUGGCGGCAUGCCUUACACAUGCAAGUCGAACGGUAACGGGCCUUCGGGUGCCGACGAGUGGCGAACGGGUGAGUAAUGCAUCGGAACGUACCUUUCAGUGGGGGAUAACGUAGCGAAAGUUACGCUAAUACCGCAUAUUCUGUGAGCAGGAAAGCAGGGGAUCGCAAGACCUUGCGCUGAUUGAGCGGCCGAUGUCAGAUUAGCUAGUUGGUGAGGUAAAGGCUCACCAAGGCGACGAUCUGUAGCGGGUCUGAGAGGAUGAUCCGCCACACUGGAACUGAGACACGGUCCAGACUCCUACGGGAGGCAGCAGUGGGGAAUUUUGGACAAUGGGGGCAACCCUGAUCCAGCCAUGCCGCGUGA
This 372-nucleotide ribosomal RNA is filed under the name uncultured bacterium. RNAcentral describes it as "bacterial SSU rRNA". It matches the Rfam family "Bacterial small subunit ribosomal RNA", at positions 30 to 404 of the family's 1533-position model. The record is from RNAcentral.